This 468-nucleotide ribosomal RNA is filed under the name uncultured bacterium. RNAcentral describes it as "partial 16S ribosomal RNA". It matches the Rfam family "Bacterial small subunit ribosomal RNA", at positions 28 to 507 of the family's 1533-position model. The record is from RNAcentral.
GAUGAACGCUGGCGGCGUGCUUAACACAUGCAAGUCGAACGGUGAAGGCGGAGCUUGCUCUGCUGGAUCAGUGGCGAACGGGUGAGUAACACGUGAGCAAUCUGCCCCUGACUCUGGGAUAAGCGCUGGAAACGGCGUCUAAUACUGGAUACGAGCUGCGAAGGCAUCUUCAGCAGCUGGAAAGAAUUUCGGUCAGGGAUGAGCUCGCGGCCUAUCAGCUUGUUGGUGAGGUAAUGGCUCACCAAGGCGUCGACGGGUAGCCGGCCUAAGAGGGUGACCGGCCACACUGGGACUGAGAGACGGCCCAGACUCCUACGGGAGGCAGCAGUGGGGAAUAUUGCACAAUGGGCGAAAGCCUGAUGCAGCAACGCCGCGUGAGGGACGACGGCCUUCGGGUUGUAAACCUCUUUUAGCAGGGAAGAAGCGAAAGUGACGGUACCUGAAGAAAAAGCGCCGGCUAACUACGUG